RNAcentral lists this ribosomal RNA (199 nucleotides) under uncultured bacterium. RNAcentral's name for it is "partial 16S ribosomal RNA". It matches the Rfam family "Bacterial small subunit ribosomal RNA", at positions 1302 to 1500 of the family's 1533-position model. The record is from RNAcentral.
AGUCUGCAACCCGACUACAUGAAGCUGGAAUCGCUAGUAAUCGCGAAUCAGAAUGUCGCGGUGAAUACGUUCCCGGGUCUUGUACACACCGCCCGUCACACCAUGGGAGUCAGUAACGCCCGAAGUCAGUGACCCAACCGGAAGGAGGGAGCUGCCGAAGGCGGGACGGAUGACUGGGGUGAAGUCGUAACAAGGUACC